RNAcentral lists this long non-coding RNA (467 nucleotides) under Androctonus crassicauda. Lineage: Eukaryota; Metazoa; Arthropoda; Arachnida; Scorpiones; Buthidae. The record is from RNAcentral.
AUUUAACACAAAUAAAAAGAUUUAUGCAGUUUCAGAGAUAUGCAGAUAUAUUAGUCAGGAAACUAUUGCAUAAAUAUGUUAACUAUAUAUAUCAACAGUCUGAAAUUGAAUUCUGCUAUAUGCAUAAGAACAUUAGUAUAAGUUUUAGAACCUACUUUGUAAGGAAAAAUAUUCAUGGAUGUGGAAAGUUGCAAUGUAUCUCACUUAUAUUUUGGUUCUUCUUAUCUAUGCAAAUUGUCAUUUUCUUCAAUGAAUGUUGUUAAAAAAAUACAGCAGAUCCUUGUUUAAUGUCAGGGUUAGUUCCUGAAAAUCACAAUGUCAACUGAAACCAAAAAUUCCAAUCACCCAGUAUAUAAAUUUUUCAAGAAAUGGAUUCCUAAUUUGAUUCCAUAUCCUCUAGAUGGAAAGCCAACAUUUCAUUAAUCAAUGGAAAGUCAGACAUUUCAUUAGACUGACUGAUAUUUGCA